Molecule: ribosomal RNA, 497 nt
Filed under: uncultured bacterium
Lineage: Bacteria
Description: partial 16S ribosomal RNA
Rfam family: Bacterial small subunit ribosomal RNA
Source: RNAcentral
GACGAACGCUGGCGGCGUGCCUAAUACAUGCAAGUUGAGCGCUGAAGGUUGGUACUUGUACCCACUGGAUGAGCAGCGAACGGGUGAGUAACGCGUGGGGAAUCUGCCUUUGAGCGGGGGACAACAUUUGGAAACGAAUGCUAAUACCGCAUAAAAACUUUAAACACAAGUUUUAAGUUUGAAAGAUGCAAUUGCAUCACUCAAAGAUGAUCCCGCGUUGUAUUAGCUAGUUGGUGAGGUAAAGGCUCACCAAGGCGAUGAUACAUAGCCGACCUGAGAGGGGGAUCGGCCACAAUGGGACUGAGACACGGCCCAAACUCCUACGGGAGGGAGCAGUAGGGAAUCUUCGGCAAUGGACGAAAGUCUGACCGAGCAACGCCGCGUGAGUGAAGAAGGGUUUCGGAUCGUAAAACUCUGUUGGUAGAGAAGAACGUUGGUGAGAGUGGAAAGCUCAUCAAGUGACGGUAACUACCCAGAAAGGGACGGCUAACUACGUG